This is a long non-coding RNA of Rhinolophus ferrumequinum (greater horseshoe bat), 411 nucleotides long. RefSeq lists it as uncharacterized. The record is from RefSeq and is a predicted model, not a curated record. The transcript is spliced from 3 exons. NCBI's taxonomy places the organism in Eukaryota, Metazoa, Chordata, Mammalia, Chiroptera, Rhinolophidae.
GAAUCUUUCCAGGAACUCAUUCUUGGGAAAAUGAGCUGCUCCCACAGCUGCUUGCCCUGGGGGCUCUGCCUUUGAAGAUUGUCCUCACGCUACAUGGAGCUUUCGUGGGGCUGUGCACACCCAGCGGACAGGCAGUCCUGACCCAGGUCGCUUGGAGGGCCGCUGUGGAGGGCAGGACACUGGGGCUCCCCCACCCCGAGAAAGCUGGCAGGAGCUUACCCCCAAGCUGUCAGGCACCUUCCUCACACCCCCACCAGGCGUGAAAAAGAGACAGAUGACACUCCCGAGCAGGAAGCCAGGCUGCCAAUGGCCGACAGCCAGGAGCCCCAGACUCCAGCCUUUUCCACACCAGCCAAGUGCCCAGCCCCAUGCCAGGGAUGGCGGCCAGCGCUCCUGAGACCAGGCCAGCCC